GAGAAAGUAAUUUAUUGAAAAUAUUUAAUUGCAAAUUAAAAAAAGAAUCCAUUUCCUUUCUUU
RNAcentral lists this transfer RNA (63 nucleotides) under Isodiametra pulchra. RNAcentral's name for it is "tRNA-Cys". Lineage: Eukaryota; Metazoa; Xenacoelomorpha; Acoela; Isodiametridae. The record is from RNAcentral.